ACUACUUGAAGCAAGUGUAGUAUCUGUUCUUAUCAGUUUAAUAUCUGAUACGUGGGCUAUCGACCCACAUGAUAUUAUAUUAAUUUUUUCUUGGGGAGGGCCCACUACAUUAGCUUGCUAUUGGGGUCCUCAAGCAUCGCCCUUUCGUUGCACUACUUUACGGGCCUGGCGCACCCCUA
RNAcentral lists this small nuclear RNA (179 nucleotides) under Macleaya cordata. RNAcentral describes it as "U2 spliceosomal RNA". It matches the Rfam family "U2 spliceosomal RNA". From Rfam's summary of the family: U2 is a small nuclear RNA (snRNA) component of the spliceosome (involved in pre-mRNA splicing). Complementary binding between U2 snRNA (in an area lying towards the 5' end but 3' to hairpin I) and the branchpoint sequence (BPS) of the intron results the bulging out of an unpaired adenosine, on the BPS, which initiates a nucleophilic attack at the intronic 5' splice site, thus starting the first of two transesterification reactions that mediate splicing. The record is from Rfam by way of RNAcentral. Lineage: Eukaryota; Viridiplantae; Streptophyta; Magnoliopsida; Ranunculales; Papaveraceae.